UACAGAGGGUGCAAACGUUGUUCGGAUUUACUGGGCGUAAAGCGUGUGUAGGCGGUUUGGCAAGUCGGAUGUGAAAGCCCCGGGCUCAACUCGGGAAGUGCACUCGAUACUGCUAGACUGGAGUGUGGGAGAGGUUGGUGGAAUUCUCGGUGUAGAGGUGAAAUUCGUAGAUAUCGAGAGGAACACCGGCGGCGAAGGCGGCCAACUGGACAAACACUGACGCUGAGACACGAAAGCGUGGGGAGCAAACAGG
RNAcentral lists this ribosomal RNA (253 nucleotides) under uncultured bacterium. RNAcentral describes it as "partial 16S ribosomal RNA". It matches the Rfam family "Bacterial small subunit ribosomal RNA", at positions 524 to 776 of the family's 1533-position model. The record is from RNAcentral.